Molecule: ribosomal RNA, 443 nt
Filed under: uncultured soil bacterium
Lineage: Bacteria
Description: bacterial SSU rRNA
Rfam family: Bacterial small subunit ribosomal RNA
Source: RNAcentral
AGAGUUUGAUCCUGGCUCAGGAUGAACGCUGGCGGCGUGCUUUAGGCAUGCAAGUCAAGGGGGUCUCGCAAGAGACAACCGGCAGACGGGUGAGUAACGCGUAGGAAUCUUCCCUUCGGCGGAGCAUAGCCCCUCGAAAGAGGGUGUAAUUCUCCAUAGUCUCGUUUACGAGUAAAGGCCGUAACUGGCCACCGAAGAAUGAGCCUGCGUCCUAUCAGCUAGUUGGUGGGGUAAAGGCCUACCAAGGCGACGACGGGUAGAUGGACUGAGAGGUCGGUCAGCCACAAUGGCACUUAGAUACGGGCCAUACACCUACGGGUGGCAGCAACCGGGAAUAGUUCGCAAUGGACGAAAGUCUGACGACGCGACGCCGCGAGGAGGAUGAAGGUUUUCGGAUCGUAAACUCCUUUUGUUGGUGGAGAACACCAGAAGAAUUGCCUUAG